UGCGAAUCAAAGAUGGUGGCUUGCAUAACAACGAUCGUGUCAAAUUGUAUUUUCUUAUACAUUUCUUGCGUAAUUGAUCCAAAAGCUGUCUUAAACGCAUGUCUCCAACACGACUGCGUUAUAAAGGUAACGUUACCGUUAGGCUUUCCUAACUGAGGACCUGGCUGCUGGGUAAUGUUGACAGUUUAAUUUGUAUACCAUCCUUUAUUUUAACGCGUAGGCCUACCAUUAAUUGUGUUGGUUGGCUAAGCCACACUUCCAUUGCAAAGUGCACAGCUUUCUGCACCAGCCUGAAUAAUUCUAGUUAUGUAGGGUGUCAAAUCCGAUCCAAAAGUCGAACGAGCACUAGAUGGGGCGCGCGAGCUAGAUUAAAUAUUGCUCGAGAAGAAAUGUGGUCGAGCGAGCAGAGGACGGGUUCAGGGAGCGUAGACCGGUGUGGUGCGCACAUAUUACAGUUGAGAGUUUACGAGUGAGUGAGCAGAACUUCAUUCCCGUACGUAUUAAAUUAAAUCGAGUUUUUUUUUUUUGAUAACCUGAAGAAAUAUUUUCUACAUAUCGAGAUUCAGAAAUUACUGCACUCACAAAUACGGGGGACUACCAACUAAUUUUAUGCCUUAAUUAAACAACUCUGCACAUAUGUAUCGCUCCACCUUCCUCAAUCUCCAUUGUCAUACUUUUGUUUACCUUUUUACCAAUGUCUAUGGAUUGUACAAGGAUUUUAAUUUGGGAGUUAAUGUAAAAAGCUGAGGGAUGGGGCUGGGGACAUGUAACCGCUCUCAAAUUCAUAGACCGUGUUAUGGAUGCAAGGACUGACCAUCCGCCGCCUCCUUAAACCCCCAUAAGAGAUGACCCAAAGUUCCUUGCCUAAGACCUCCAAUGAGUUUUGAAAAGGAAGUGAAGAGUUGAGCAAAGAUACAUUGGGACAGGGCUUAUGUCAAAUGAUACAGUAAGUGCAAACAGAAUAAAUGUAAAUCUUUGUUCUACUUUGUGCUCUUUCCUCAGAUUGCUCUGGCUUGCUGAUAACAUCUGCUCUGAUGAGACUCCCUGUGCAAUUUGACUCUAUUACUGACUAUUCAAUAAAACGUCCAUUGUCAACUAUAAAUAAUUUUAGAUUCUGUAAUUGAUCGAUAAUAGUAGUUCUCAAUCAGACAAUUACUAUUUUAAAUCUGUUUUCCUCAGUGCAAUGUUUGGAGAAUGCAUGGUGUUUUUGUUCUCAGCCCUCCUUUGAAUGCUGUGUGUACAGAUUCUGUUCUAAAUGACCGAGUCCAUCCUCACCACCUCCAUCACUGCAACGGAUUGUCUGGUCUGCUGAGAGGGUCAUUGGUUGUCCUGCACGAAUCGAAGGCAAAGAAGUAUGCUGGGAAGUUCAUUGCCGACCCCUUUCACCCCCUCUUCCAAAUAUUCCCCUCUGGCAAAACCUCCUGCCACAGAACAGUUUCUUCCCCUUUGUCAUUGGCCCUCACCAACCUUCCACCUGGUCCUCUCAUCCAUGGACUUUGCACCUUACACUCCUAUUAUAUGCAUCAUUUAGCAUAUGUUUACAUUUUAGCCAUUUAGCUGACACUCACAUCCAGAGCGACAUACAGGUAGCAAAUAGGGUAAAGUGCCUCGCCAAAGUGCACAUCGACAGAUUUUUCACAGUCUGCUCGAGAUUUGAACCAGCGACCUGGAAGAACAGCCCAAUGCUCUUAACCUGUAGGCUACCUGCAGUUUAAAGUGUACAUACUGUAUGUGGAUAUUUUCUUUUUGUUUGUAUAUUCUGUUUGUGGCAGCACCAUUUCAGUAAAGUUCCUGAACAUGCAAAUGUAUUUGUUGAAUAAAG
Molecule: long non-coding RNA, 1822 nt
Organism: Oncorhynchus tshawytscha (Chinook salmon)
Lineage: Eukaryota; Metazoa; Chordata; Actinopteri; Salmoniformes; Salmonidae
Source: Ensembl